RNAcentral lists this ribosomal RNA (253 nucleotides) under uncultured bacterium. Its description in RNAcentral is "partial 16S ribosomal RNA". It matches the Rfam family "Bacterial small subunit ribosomal RNA", at positions 524 to 776 of the family's 1533-position model. The record is from RNAcentral.
UACGGGGGGGGCAAGCGUUGUUCGGAAUUACUGGGCGUAAAGGGCUCGUAGGUGGCCAACUAAGUCGGACGUGAAAUCCCUCGGCUUAACCGGGGAACUGCAUCCGAUACUGGAUGGCUUGAGUUCGGGAGAGGGAUGCGGAAUUCCAGGUGUAGCGGUGAAAUGCGUAGAUAUCUGGAGGAACACCGGUGGCGAAGGCGGCAUCCUGGACCGACACUGACGCUGAGGAGCGAAAGCAUGGGGAGCGAACAGG